GAGGUGACCAAGCUCAGAUGCUGAGAUUAAGGCGGCCGGGCGAAACUCGCGACACCCUGCGAUUCCCUCUUAGCCAGCUGCGUAAAGUUGCCUACGCCAAGCGGGUAGCGUCCUGCUCGGCCACCUGGCGGCGGGCGUGGAGUUGGCAGGCAGGCAGUGGGGGUCACGCCGGCAUGAAAGGCCAGAUCACCUGCAGGUCGCCAAGUUGCCGGGAAUCCCCCGCUCCGAGCAGUGUCAUGCCCAUCACAAAUAACCCUAUCGCAGCCGGGAGACCAAGUCUAGCUCUGCCACCGAGGCUGGAGUGCAGUGGCACGAUCUCGCCUCCGCCUCCCGGGUUCAAGCGAUUCACCUGCCUCAGCUUCCGGAGUAGCUGGGAUUACAGGCCUGCGCCACCACGCCUGGCUAAUUUUUGUAUUUUUUUUUUUUUUGGUAGAUACGGGGUUUCACCAUGUUGGCCAGGCUGGUCUUGAACUCCUGGCCUCAAGUGAUUCACCCGCCUCCGCCUCCCAAAGUGCUGGCAUUUCAGGCGUGAGCCACCACGCUUGGUCUUGCUCUAGCUAUUCUAAACAUGAAGAAGUCAUAUAGCUUCCUUGGUGCGGUGGGCUGAAGUCACUCUAAGGGAGUUUCCCAGCCCCAGGGGUUAAAGAACUGGAGUCAAGAUUGGAACCCAGCUGGCGAAGGAUUCCGCACCGCUAGAUCUUGACAUUUGCCUCUUCUUCUGCCAGGAAGGCUCCCCUGUUCCUUUUUGCUGACGUGUCAUUUCUAAGUACUUUCUCCUACUCCAUAAAGACUUCAAGUGAGUACACAAUA
This 810-nucleotide long non-coding RNA is filed under the name Homo sapiens (human). RNAcentral's name for it is "non-protein coding lnc-HIST4H4-5:3". Lineage: Eukaryota; Metazoa; Chordata; Mammalia; Primates; Hominidae. The record is from RNAcentral.